RNAcentral lists this ribosomal RNA (364 nucleotides) under uncultured bacterium. RNAcentral's name for it is "bacterial SSU rRNA". It matches the Rfam family "Bacterial small subunit ribosomal RNA", at positions 29 to 420 of the family's 1533-position model. The record is from RNAcentral.
AACGAACGCUGGCGGCAUGCCUAACACAUGCAAGUCGAACGAAGGCUUCGGCCUUAGUGGCGCACGGGUGCGUAACGCGUGGGAAUCUGCCCUUGGGUUCGGAAUAACUCAGAGAAAUUUGAGCUAAUACCGGAUGAUGACGUAAGUCCAAAGAUUUAUCGCCCAAGGAUGAGCCCGCGUAAGAUUAGCUAGUUGGUGGGGUAAAGGCCUACCAAGGCGACGAUCUUUAGCUGGUCUGAGAGGAUGAUCAGCCACACUGGGACUGAGACACGGCCCAGACUCCUACGGGAGGCAGCAGUGGGGAAUAUUGGACAAUGGGCGAAAGCCUGAUCCAGCAAUGCCGCGUGCGGGACGAAGGCCUCGG